GGUUGCUAUGCAAAAGGCCAUAAGUCAUCUACCGCACACCACAGACCUGGCUAGCAGGCGGGUGUUCCCUUCUCAUUCCUCCAUGUGCAUCUCUCUUGAAGUGGCAUGCUCGGUGGAAGAUGACCAUCCCAGAUAGGACCGUGCCACUCUUAAGUCAAGAGCAUAUGAUGGCAACGCUCCCCUGCCAGAACCCCCCCCCCCAAACUACAACACUGUAGUUUGUUAAGCUACAACAGUAGUGAAAGCUCCCAAUCUCCUCAUAGCCAUCCUAGAGAAGGGGGCAGGGAAGGGUAGCCUGAGGUAUAUAGCAGCU
This is a non-coding RNA of Podarcis lilfordi (Lilford's wall lizard), 313 nucleotides long. The record is from the annotation of a GenBank genome assembly. Lineage: Eukaryota; Metazoa; Chordata; Lepidosauria; Squamata; Lacertidae.